This is a long non-coding RNA of Mustela lutreola (European mink), 1984 nucleotides long. RefSeq lists it as uncharacterized. The transcript has 3 exons. Lineage: Eukaryota; Metazoa; Chordata; Mammalia; Carnivora; Mustelidae. The record is from RefSeq and is a predicted model, not a curated record.
CAGAGAUGCGUCCAGAGAGAGGGGCGGGGCUGGGAAGCAAGCUUGGGAAGGGCCACAACUCCGGAAGAGAGAGGGCCGCUGUAGGCCAUGAAGAAAGAGCAGGGCAGAGAGGACACAGAAGGCCAGGCUGGGCUCCUGUGACUGAAGGCUGCCCAGAGAAGCCGGCUAGACCUCAGGAAACCUCGGAGCAAAUUCACCAUUUCCAGAAGGACCUUUAACCCAGUAGUCUCUUUGCGGGCUGGGGCUUUAGCCAGGCAUCAAGACUUGGACCGCAAGGAGUUUCUGCAGGGCAGUUCACAGGAUGUGAAGCAAUGUGACCACAGGUGAUCCUCAGGAGGGCUCUCUCAGGCAUUCUGACUGGGCCCCACUGGUUCUUGCACUGGCACUUCCUUCCACUCCAUUGGGAGGGACCUCCAACCAAAGGCUAGAAAGAGGCAACCCAAUUUUCCUUUCCUGCUGGUUCCCUUUGCUUCUACCUGGGGUCCAAGCCUUGAUAUUCCUACCUGCCCUUACAGUCUCUGGAGAACAAAGUUUGUUUCUGUAACAAUAAUAGUAACAAUUGGGGCGCCUGGGUGGCUCAGUGGGUUAAAGCCUCUGCCUUCGGCUCAAGUCAUGAUCCCGGGGUCCUGAGAUCGAGCCCAUUGGGCUCUCUGCUCAGCAGAAAGCCUGCUUCCUCCUCUCUCUCUCUGCCUGCCUCUCUGCCUACUUGUGAUCUCUGUCAAAUAAAUAAAAUCUUUUAAAAAAUAAAUAAUAGUAACAACUAAUACAUUUUGAGGACUUAUUAGGCGCUAGGUGCUUUCUUUACAUGCAUAUUUAUCCUCAAUCCAGUCCCUAAGCUGUUUUAUUCUCAUUCUAUAGGUGAAAAGAGUGAGGCUUAGAGAGGUUAUUUACCCAAAGCCAUAUACUCAGAAACUGGUACUCAACUUUGUCUGACUGUAAAGUUUGUCUUAACUUUAAGUGCAUUGCUAGAAGGUCAUCUCUCUGUUUCAGAUAAUCUAUGUUGUUAUGACAUUUACGAGUCCAAAUUCAGUCAUCCCCUCCAUUCUGAAGGCACAGCAGACUGCACACCUUUAUGACUGUAUCCUUCAACCAUUCUCCUUAUUUUUUUGCUCUUGGGCUGAUCAUUCUAGCUGCCACCAGCAAGUCUGCCUUGCUGCAUUAUUCAUAGAAUAACCUGGUCCAUUCCAUUUCCUAAAGAAAUCAGAAAUACUGAUUUCUUCUCAGAUACUUAACUGAAAUAACAACACUUUUAGGUUUCAGGAUCCCAUACAUUUCUGUCUGCCCUCCCAUUUAUUUAUAAACCCUGUGAGAGCAGGAAUGGAAUUUUAUUCACUGUUAUGCCCUUCAGGCCUAAUAGACCCUCAGUAAAUGUUGAUUGAACAAAUCAUACAGUGCCUACUGUAAGCCUACUCUGAUGUUUGAAGAUAACUGUAGUGGCUAUUUAAGAGCAAAGACUGAACUAUGAAGAGGAAAAAAAAAAAAAAGAAGAAGAAAGAAAAGAAACAUUGAUUUGUAAGAAAGGUUCAAUGUCAGCCUGAGCAGCCAUAACAGAACUGCUAGGCCAACACAAAUUAUACCUGGUCCAAAGCUGUGUACCUCAAGGAUCUUCUCAGACCAACACCAUGGAGCCAAGGAAUGGCAGCUCAAACUAUAGACAAAGCACAAGUGUUUUUAUCAGAAAACCUCAGGCCAUAUAGACCACUUUGAACCUUAUCUAUUCCUUUAAUUAUAUAUAUAUAUGUAUAUAUAUAUUUUAAUUAAUAUAUACAUAUUAAAGAUUUUAUUUAUUUGAAAGAGAGAUAUAUAAGGAGCACGAGCAGGGGAGGGACAGAGGGAGAAGUAGACUCCUUGCUGAACAGGGAGUCCAAUGUGGGGCUGGAUCCCAGGACCUGGGAUCAUGACCUGAGCCAAAGGCAGAUGCUUAACCAACUCAGCCACCCAGGCGCCCCUCAACGAUAUAUCUUACAAGAGCAAGGAAGACAGU